Molecule: ribosomal RNA, 491 nt
Filed under: uncultured bacterium
Lineage: Bacteria
Description: partial 16S ribosomal RNA
Rfam family: Bacterial small subunit ribosomal RNA
Source: RNAcentral
CGUUCCCUCUGGCGGUAGGCCUAACACAUGCAAGUCGAACGGCAGCACAGUAAGAGCUUGCUCUUACGGGUGGCGAGUGGCGGACGGGUGAGGAAUACAUCGGAAUCUACUUUUUCGUGGGGGAUAACGUAGGGAAACUUACGCUAAUACCGCAUACGACCUACGGGUGAAAGCAGGGGAUCUUCGGACCUUGCGCGAUUGAAUGAGCCGAUGUCGGAUUAGCUAGUUGGCGGGGUAAAGGCCCACCAAGGCGACGAUCCGUAGCUGGUCUGAGAGGAUGAUCAGCAACACGGGAAGUGAGCAGCGGCCAAGAGCCUUAGGGGAGGAAGAGGUGGGGAUAAUGGGCAAAUGGGGGAAAGCUUGAUCAAGCCUUCCAGGGUGGGUGAAGAAGGCCUGCGGGUGGUAAGGCCCUUUUUUGGGGAAAAAAAGGAACAGGGUAAAACCCCGCCUGUCUGGCGGGAACCAAAAGAAUAGGAACGGGUAACCUCGGU